UACGUAGGGGCCAAGCGUUGUCCGGAUUUAUUGGGCGUAAAGAGCUCGUAGGCGGUUCGGUAAGUCAGCUGUGAAAUCUCCACGCUCAACGUGGAGGGGUCAGCUGAUACUGCCGUGACUUGAGUCUGGUAGGGGAGUGCGGAAUUCCCGGUGUAGCGGUGAAAUGCGCAGAUAUCGGGAGGAACACCAGUGGCGAAGGCGGCGCUCUGGGCCAGUACUGACGCUGAGGAGCGAAAGCGUGGGGAGCGAACAGG
This 254-nucleotide ribosomal RNA is filed under the name uncultured bacterium. Its description in RNAcentral is "partial 16S ribosomal RNA". It matches the Rfam family "Bacterial small subunit ribosomal RNA", at positions 524 to 776 of the family's 1533-position model. The record is from RNAcentral.